UACGUAGGGUGCAAGCGUUGUCCGGAAUUAUUGGGCGUAAAGAGCUCGUAGGCGGUUUGUCGCGUCUGCUGUGAAAACUCGGGGCUUAACCCCGGGCCUGCAGUGGGUACGGGCAGACUAGAGUGCGGUAGGGGAGACUGGAAUUCCUGGUGUAGCGGUGAAAUGCGCAGAUAUCAGGAGGAACACCGGUGGCGAAGGCGGGUCUCUGGACAGUUCCUGACGCUGAGGCACGAAGGUCAGGGGAGCAAACGGG
Molecule: ribosomal RNA, 253 nt
Filed under: uncultured bacterium
Lineage: Bacteria
Description: partial 16S ribosomal RNA
Rfam family: Bacterial small subunit ribosomal RNA
Source: RNAcentral